Molecule: ribosomal RNA, 251 nt
Filed under: uncultured bacterium
Lineage: Bacteria
Description: partial 16S ribosomal RNA
Rfam family: Bacterial small subunit ribosomal RNA
Source: RNAcentral
ACGUAUGGAGCAAGCGUUAUCCGGAUUUACUGGGUGUAAAGGGAGUGUAGGUGGCCAGGCAAGUCAGAAGUGAAAGCCCGGGGCUCAACCCCGGGACUGCUUUUGAAACUGCAGGGCUAGAGUGCAGGAGGAGCAAGUGGAAUUCCUAGUGUAGCGGUGAAAUGCGUAGAUAUUAGGAGGAACACCAGUGGCGAAGGCGGCUUGCUGGACUGUAACUGACACUGAGGCUCGAAAGCGUGGGGAGCAAACAG